RNAcentral lists this ribosomal RNA (118 nucleotides) under Periophthalmus magnuspinnatus. The record is from RNAcentral. Lineage: Eukaryota; Metazoa; Chordata; Actinopteri; Gobiiformes; Gobiidae.
AUUUGUGACCAUUCAUUUUUGCUAAUGCCCGAUCUCGUCUGAUCUUGGAAUCUAAGCAUGGUUUGGCCUGGUUACUAUUUGGUUGGGAGACAAGGCAACAGUGGUGCUAGAGCAAACU